CAUUGGAGAACGCAGGGGGCAUCUUUUGGAAAUAUAAUACAGUAACGCCACAUAUAUUAACACCUCGUGCCCCUCUUUCUGAUCACCAUUGCAUCGUCUAAAUGAUUUCUUCCUCGCUCUAGAAGCCCUCUCUUUCGCCAAAUCUUCUGCGGCUGUUCUUUUUGUUGGAACCGCCGUGUGUGCGUCAUAUUGAACCUUUCCUCUUCUUCAGUCAUUGUCGUUUCCGGGUUCCAUCAUUUUCCCUUUCCUCGUAAUAUAUGAAUUCUUAAUUCUCGUUUCUCCGCAAGAAGAAGGAAAGAAAGCCAGAAAGGUAGAAGUCGAAACGGGGGAAAAUGGCAGAGAUUGCUGUGUCUGUAGCUUGCGAAGUGGCAAAGUGCCUGUUGGCUCCGGUCGGUCGGCACUGCGGCUACGUAAUAUUCUCUGACCGCUGCGUUCGGCAACUUAAUGUUGAAAUUAAGAAGCUGGGUGACACGAGGGAUGAGGUGCAGCAUUCUAUCGAUGAUGCUCGAAACAACAUGAAGCCGAUCAAAGCCAAGGUUGAGACUGUUAGAAAUAGUAAAAUUGUUUUUGUGUUUUGAUUAGCCUAUUUGUCUUUUAAUUAUUUUUGGCUAAGUGUGUGAAAGCAAAGGAGAGAAUUCUUGAAGAAGCAAAGGAGAGAAUUCUUGAAGAAGCUACAAGUGGAACUUGUUGCUCAAGUCUUGAAGAGUAGGAAGAAAGCUUCAACUUUGUAAACUUGAACUUGAAGGAAAAGUUUCAGCCCAAAAUUGUUGACUCCUUGGCCAAGAAGAAAUGUUCAACUUCAACUCUUGCAUGUUGAAGAUAAUGGUGGUGAAAAUGCUUAUAAAUAUAGGGUUAUGUUAGUUUUUUUAGAGUGUGAGAGUGUUUGUAAAAGUGAGAGAAAGUGAGAUUUUAGAGAGAGUUUUAAGCUUAGCAAAGUUAGUGUGUGUACUCUCUUAAGCCUUUACAAAGGCAUAUUGUGUAAUAUAAUCUCCCUUUGUGUGUGUACUCUCUCCCUCCAACUCCUUUUGGUUCCAACAAUUGGUAUCAGAGCUAGCCAUGGCAUCCACUAGCUCCGUUCAGAUGCAACUUCCAAAGUUGAACGGAAAAAAUUACAACAACUGGUUCGUCCAGAUGAAGGUUCUAUUCAAGUCCCAAGACUUGUGGAACCUGGUGGAGAACGGCUAUACCGAUGUAGCUGAUGCUGAAGAAUUCAAUGCUUUGAGGAAAGAGGAGAAAGAAGCGUUGGUGGAAUCUCGAAAGAAAGAUCAGAAAGCAUUAUAUGCGAUCUUUCAAGCCGUGGAGGAGACGAUAUUUGAAAAAAUAUCGAGUGCUGAGACAGCAAAAGAAGCGUGGGAUAUAUUGCAAAAAUCCUACAAAGGUGAUGAUCGUGUCAGGCGGGUGCGGCUCCAAACACUUCGAGGAGAUUUUGAGUCUUUACGCAUGAAUGACUCUGAAUCUAUCUCGGCUUACUUUGAUCGUGUACAAACCAUCGUUAAUAAACUGAGGGUUAAUGGUGAAGAGCUCCAAGAUGUGCGAGUCGUAGAAAAAAUCUUGAGGUCUUUGACUGAAAGAUUUGACUAUGUGGUUGCGGCGAUCGAAGAAGGCCAAGAUAUAUCAACCAUGACGUUGGAGAGGUUGAUGGGUUCAUUAUGUUCGCAUGAGCAAAGAAUGAACCAGAAGUCUAUCAGUUCGAAUUCUGAGCAAGCACUGCAGAGUCGGGUCACUCAAUCAAAUCGAGGAGGUCAUCAUGGUGGCCGAGGUCGUGGAGGUCGUGGUGGUGCCCGAGGUAGAGGUGGAAAUCUGAAUUCCACUAAAAGAUAUCAAACACGUGACAAAUCAAAAGUCAAGUGUUUUAACUGUAACAAGUUCGGACAUUACAAAUCCGAAUGUCGAGCAAACAGGGGGCAAGAGCAGCCAGAAUAUGUGCAUGCUGUCGAUGCAAAUGAAGGCGUGGUGUUAGCAUGCCAAAUGGAUGACUCAAGUACCAUGGACACAAAAAUUUGGUACCUUGAUACCGGGUGCAGCAAUCACAUGUGUGGUCAAAAGGAGCUAUUUUCGAAGUUAGAUGAAACGGUUCGUGGUGAAGUCAACUUCGGGAAUAAAUCCAAAAUUCUCGUGAUGGGCAAAGGUAACAUUGAUAUCAACUCAAAAGAUGGUACUAAUGUUACUAUUGCAGACGUUUACUUUGUACCGGGACUCUUUUGGAAUUUGCUAAGUGUUGGGCAACUAUCCGAAAAAGGCCACAAAGUUAACAUUGAAAAUGGUGUGUGCACCAUUAGAGGCGCAAACAAUAAGUUGAUUACGACGACACAAAUGACGAAGAACCGGAUGUUUCCUCUAUCCCUUCAGACGAAGACUCUAUUGAGUUUCCAAGCAACGACAAAAGGUAGCAAGUGGCUUUGGCAUCUUCGGUUCGGUCAUCUAAAUUUUCGUGGACUUAAAUUACUAGUCCAGAAAAAGAUGGUGACUGGCAUGCCCUUGAUCGACGCUCCAGACCGCUCAUGUGAAGGAUGUCUCGUUGGAAAGCAACAUCGGAAAUCUUUUCCAAUUGGGAGAGCUAGAAGAGCCAAGCAACCUCUAGAGUUGGUACAUACAGAUAUCUGUGGCCCUGUUGAGGUGGAAUCAUUUGGACAAAAAAGGUACACGCUAAUUUUUGUCGAUGAUUUUACUAGAAAAACAUGGGCUUAUUUUUUGAGAGAAAAGUCCGAAGCUUUUGGCAAAUUUAAAGAAUUCAAAGUCUAUGUUGAGAAACAGAGUGGCUUUAAUUUAAAGACAUUGAGAUCGGACAGAGGUGGAGAGUUUACUUCCAAUGAAUUUGAUAAUUAUUGUAAAAUUCAUGGAGUGAAACGUCAAUUGACUGCUAGCUAUACUCCUCAGCAAAACGGUAUAGCAGAAAGAAAGAAUAGAACAAUUUUUGAAAUGGCAAGAAGUAUGCUAAAGGCUAAAGCAUUACCGAAGAAGUUUUGGGCAGAAGCUGUUGCUUGUGCUGUAUAUGUGUUGAACAGGUGUCCAACAAGGAGUGUUCUUGGAAGAACUCCAGAAGAGGCUUGGAGCGGCAACAAGCCAGAUGUUUCGUUCCUACGGGUAUUUGGGUGCGUAGCAUAUCCCCAUAUACCGGACGAACGAAGAAAAAAGUUGGAUGAUAAAAGCGAGAAGUGCAUUUUCAUUGGAUAUAGUAAUGUGACUAAGGGUUAUAAGCUAUAUAAUCCUGUCACGGAGAAGGUAAUUAUUAGCAGGGAUGUCCAAUUUUUUGAAGAUGAAGCCUGGGACUGGAAUCAAAAGGCUGACCAGAAAGGCAUUCCUAUGGAAGAUGAACCAUUGGUGAGGGAGACCGAAGAAUCUCAAAUUGAAGUUCCAUCACUUUCACCUGGUAGUUCAUCCUCCUCACCAGCAACGACUGCAGAACCAUUGAUUCGUCGUUCACAACGACCGCAGAAGACGCCAGUAAAAUUCAAGGAUUAUGUGGUCACAAGAGUUGAUCGUAAUGACGGUGACGAAAUCACUGAUGAAGCAAUGGUAAACUUUUGUUUAUUUACCGAAUGUGACCCCAUAUCCUAUGAUGAUGCAGCAGCAGAUGAGAAGUGGAACCAAGCAAUGGAUGAAGAAAUCCACUCCAUUGAAAAGAAUGACACGUGGGUGCUAACUUCUUUACCACCUGGUAAGAAGCCUAUAGGUGUCAAGUGGGUGUACAAAACGAAGUACAAACCCAACGGUCAGGUGGACCGUUACAAAGCUAGACUGGUGGUGAAAGGCUACAAGCAAAAGCCAGGUAUUGAUUAUUUUGAAGUAUUUGCACCAGUGGCUCGAAUGGAUACCAUUCGGAUGAUCUUGGCACUUGCAGCUCAGAACCGUUGGAAAAUCCAUCAAAUGGAUGUGAAAUCGGCAUUCCUUAAUGGUUUUCUCGAUGAGGAAGUAUAUGUGGAGCAACCACAGGGUUAUGUGAAGAAAGGGUGUGAAAAUCAAGUUUAUAAACUGAAGAAAGCGUUGUAUGGGCUAAAACAGGCACCUCGAGCUUGGUACACGAGGAUUGAUACUUACCUGUUGGAGCAUGGCUUUCAAAAGUGCCCUUAUGAGCAUACACUGUAUAUCAAAUCAAAUACUAACGGCGAUAUUAUAAUUGUUUGCCUUUAUGUUGAUGAUUUGAUAUUUACAGGAAGCUGUGAGAAGAUGUUUGCUGAAUUCAGGGAGGCCAUGACAAGUCAAUUUGAGAUGACAGAUUUGGGAUUAAUGUCCUAUUUUUUGGGCCUUGAAGUGAAGCAGACAAAUGAAGGCAUAUUUGUUUCACAGCAGAAGUAUGCUAAUGAUAUUUUGAAGCGAUUCAAUAUGGAAACGCUCAAAUCAAUUCGAACUCCUGUAGCAGAACGGUUGGAGUUAAAGAAAGAAGGAACCGGUGAAUUGGUAAAUCCCACUUAUUUCAAAAGUAUUGUUGGCAGUUUAAGAUAUUUGGCUACCACUAGGCCAGAUAUAACUUAUGGCGUGGGAAUUAUUAGUCGGUUUAUGGAGAAACCAUACCAAUCACAUUUGCAAGCAGCAAAAAGAAUUUUAAGGUAUGUCAGUGGAACUCGCGAUCAUGGAAUUUUAUAUUCUUACACUGACAACUUCAGUUUAGUGGGAUAUACAGACAGUGAUUGGGCAGGUGAUACUGAAACACGAAAGAGCACUUCCGGAUAUGCGUUCUUUCUUGGAUCAGGAAUAAUUUCUUGGUCAUCAAAGAAACAACAAGUUAUUGCACUCUCAACAGCUGAAGCGGAAUACAUUGCAGUAUCUUCAGCAGCAUGUCAGGCGAUGUGGCUUCGAAGGAUGCUUUUUGAGCUUAUGCAUGAACAAAAAGGUCCUACUAAAUUGAUGUGUGAUAACAAGUCAGCGAUUGCAUUGGCCAAGAAUCCCGUAUUUCAUGGCAGGAGCAAACAUAUCGACAUCAAGUAUCAUUAUAUUCAUGAGCUGAUUAAAGAAGGUGAGAUUGAACUUGAUUUCUGUAAAUCCGAAGACCAGAUUGCAGAUAUUUUGACAAAACCAUUGAAGGCGGAUUUGUUCGAGAAAUUGAAGACAAUGCUUGGUGUCGUUGUUUUUCAAAAUCAAUUUUAAGGGAGGCUGUUAGAAAUAGUAAAAUUGUUUUUGUGUUUUGAUUAGCCUAUUUGUCUUUUAAUUAUUUUUGGCUAAGUGUGUGAAAGCAAAGGAGAGAAUUCUUGAAGAAGCAAAGGAGAGAAUUCUUGAAGAAGCAAAGGAGAGAAUUCUUGAAGAAGCUACAAGUGGAACUUGUUGCUCAAGUCUUGAAGAGUAGGAAGAAAGCUUCAACUUUGUAAACUUGAACUUGAAGGAAAAGUUUCAGCCCAAAAUUGUUGACUCCUUGGCCAAGAAGAAAUGUUCAACUUCAACUCUUGCAUGUUGAAGAUAAUGGUGGUGAAAAUGCUUAUAAAUAUAGGGUUAUGUUAGUUUUUUUAGAGUGUGAGAGUGUUUGUAAAAGUGAGAGAAAGUGAGAUUUUAGAGAGAGUUUUAAGCUUAGCAAAGUUAGUGUGUGUACUCUCUUAAGCCUUUACAAAGGCAUAUUGUGUAAUAUAAUCUCCCUUUGUGUGUGUA
This 5577-nucleotide long non-coding RNA is filed under the name Eucalyptus grandis. RNAcentral describes it as "long non-coding RNA (EGRA_LNC004000)". Lineage: Eukaryota; Viridiplantae; Streptophyta; Magnoliopsida; Myrtales; Myrtaceae. The record is from RNAcentral.